AUGUCUGGGAAACUGCCUGAUGGAGGGGGAGUAACUACUGGAAACGGUAGCUAAUACCGCAUAACGUCGCAAGACCAAAGAGGGGGACCUCGGGCCUCUUGCCAUCGGAUGUGCCCAGAUGGGAUUAGCUAGUAGGUGGGGUAAAGGCUCACCUAGGCGACGAUCCCUAGCUGGUCUGAGAGGAUGACCAGCCACACUGGAACUGAGACACGGUCCAGACUCCUACGGGAGGCAGCAUG
Molecule: ribosomal RNA, 239 nt
Filed under: uncultured bacterium
Lineage: Bacteria
Description: partial 16S ribosomal RNA
Rfam family: Bacterial small subunit ribosomal RNA
Source: RNAcentral